This 800-nucleotide ribosomal RNA is filed under the name uncultured bacterium. RNAcentral's name for it is "bacterial SSU rRNA". It matches the Rfam family "Bacterial small subunit ribosomal RNA", at positions 8 to 810 of the family's 1533-position model. The record is from RNAcentral.
AGAGUUUGAUCCUGGCUCAGAACGAACGCUGGCGGCGUGCUUAACACAUGCAAGUCGAGUGCGCGCCUGUAGCAAUACAGGUGGCGCACGGCGCACGGGUGCGUAACACGUGGGCAAUCUGCCCUUCGAUGGGGAAUAACCCCGGGAAACCGGGGCUAAUUCCGCAUGACAUUCCUUGGACUACGGUUCGAGGACUCAAAGCCGUAAGGCGUCGAAGGAGGAGCCCGCGCCCGAUUAGCUAGUUGGCGAGGUAACGGCUCACCAAGGCAAUGAUCGGUAGCUGGUCUGAGAGGAUGGCCAGCCACACUGGAACUGAGACACGGUCCAGACUCCUACGGGAGGCAGCAGUGGGGAAUCUUGCACAAUGGGCGAAAGCCUGAUGCAGCGACGCCGCGUGGGGGAUGAAGCAUUUCGGUGUGUAAACCCCUUUCGACCGGGAAGAAUGCCUCGCAAGAGGAGUGACGGUACCGGUAUAAGAAGCCCCGGCUAACUACGUGCCAGCAGCCGCGGUAAGACGUAGGGGGCCAGCGUUGUUCGGAAUUACUGGGUGUAAAGGGUUCGUAGGCGGUGUGGCAAGUCGGGAGUGAAAUCUAUGGGCUUAACCCAUAGGCUGCUUCCGAAACUGCUGUGCUUGAGUGUGGGAGAGGCGCGUGGAAUUGCAGGUGUAGCGGUGAAAUGCGUAGAUAUCUGCAGGAACACCCGUGGCGAAAGCGGCGCGCUGGACCACAACUGACGCUGAGGAACGAAAGCUAGGGGAGCAAACAGGAUUAGAUACCCUGGUAGUCCUAGCCCUAAACGAU